UUGUGCCUACGGGAGGCAGCAGUGAGGAAUAUUGGUCAAUGGGCGCUAGCCUGAACCAGCCAAGUAGCGUGAAGGAUGACUGCCCUAUGUGUUGUAAACUUCUUUUAUAUGGGAAUAAAGUGCAGUAUGUAUACUGCUUUGCAUGUACCUUAUGAAUAAGGAUCGGCUAACUCCGUGACAGCAGCCGCGGUAAUACGGAGGAUCCGAGCGUUAUCCGGAUUUAUUGGGUUUAAAGUGAGCGUAUGCGAGUUGUUACGCCAGUUGUGAACGUUUGCGGCUCAACCGUAAAAUUGCAGUUGAUCCUG
Molecule: ribosomal RNA, 305 nt
Filed under: uncultured bacterium
Lineage: Bacteria
Description: bacterial SSU rRNA
Rfam family: Bacterial small subunit ribosomal RNA
Source: RNAcentral